Girardinichthys multiradiatus is the source of this 141-nucleotide small nuclear RNA. RefSeq annotates it as U4 spliceosomal RNA. The record is from RefSeq and is a predicted model, not a curated record. The transcript has a single exon. Lineage: Eukaryota; Metazoa; Chordata; Actinopteri; Cyprinodontiformes; Goodeidae.
AGCUUUGCGCAGUGGCAGUAUCGUAGCCUAUGAGGUUUAUCCGAGGUGCGAUUUUUGCUAGUUGAAAACUUUACCCAAUACCCCGCCUUGACGACUUGAAAUACAGUCUGCAAUGGCAAUUUUUGGCCGUCUCUCAGGAGG